UGCCAAUGAUGCUUCAAAGAGUAGUGGACAGGAGUGAUUUCUGACAACUUUUUAAAACUGAGGCU
RNAcentral lists this small nucleolar RNA (65 nucleotides) under Xenopus laevis (African clawed frog). RNAcentral describes it as "Small nucleolar RNA SNORD75". It matches the Rfam family "Small nucleolar RNA SNORD75". Rfam says of the family: U75 (SNORD75) belongs to the C/D class of snoRNAs which contain the C (UGAUGA) and D (CUGA) box motifs. Most of the members of the box C/D family function in directing site-specific 2'-O-methylation of substrate RNAs. The record is from Rfam by way of RNAcentral. Lineage: Eukaryota; Metazoa; Chordata; Amphibia; Anura; Pipidae.